AGUGAACGCUGGCGGUAGGCCUAACACAUGCAAGUCGAACGGCAGCACAGUAAGAGCUUGCUCUUACGGGUGGCGAGUGGCGGACGGGUGAGGAAUACAUCGGAAUCUACUUUUUCGUGGGGGAUAACGUAGGGAAACUUACGCUAAUACCGCAUACGACCUACGGGUGAAAGCAGGGGAUCUUCGGACCUUGCGCGAUUGAAUGAGCCGAUGUCGGAUUAGCUAGUUGGCGGGGUAAAGGCCCACCAAGGCGACGAUCCGUAGCUGGUCUGAGAGGAUGAUCAGCCACACUGGAACUGAGACACGGCCCAGACUCCUACGGGAGGCAGCAGUGGGGAAUAUUGGACAAUGGGCGCAACCCUGAUCCAGCCAUACCGCGUGGGUGAAGAAGGCCUUCGGGUUGUAAAGCCCUUUUGUUGGGAAAGAAAAGCAGCAGGUUAAUACCCCGCUGUUCUGACGGUACCCAAAGAAUAAGCACCGGCUAACUUCGUG
RNAcentral lists this ribosomal RNA (492 nucleotides) under uncultured bacterium. Its description in RNAcentral is "partial 16S ribosomal RNA". It matches the Rfam family "Bacterial small subunit ribosomal RNA", at positions 29 to 507 of the family's 1533-position model. The record is from RNAcentral.